Molecule: long non-coding RNA, 2082 nt
Filed under: Homo sapiens (human)
Lineage: Eukaryota; Metazoa; Chordata; Mammalia; Primates; Hominidae
Description: non-protein coding lnc-RPLP1-12:21
Source: RNAcentral
CUAACACGCUGGGCACUUCUUCCAACAGCCCUGUUUGCCCAGCAUUAGGGCUGUUUGUUGAAACACCUAGCCCAAUCCGAGGGGGCUCAGCUUUCUAAACAGUUGGUCCCCGAAUCUGUCAAUCAAUAACACCAAUUGGGUUCCUGAUACGAACAGCAAGUGUGGCCAAGUCCAAUAUUUGCCCAAACACUGCCUCCUCCCCCUGCACCUGACUGUCCCCCAGCUUGACUAAAAGGACGAUCACCAGGCGCAUGGGCUGCUGGGAAGAUACAAUGUUGGCAAACAGGGAGCUGGUUCCAGGAAAGAAGGGCACAUGAGCAAACAUGAUGGCCCCUUUAUGAGAGGUAAUUUACUGAAAUGCACAGCGAUUACCUGCUCACCCAGCCCUGAUGUAAUUAAAAAUGGCAGGCUAGGGGCUCUGUUUCCCCCGGCUCUGGCAGAGAAACCUGGGUUUCGACUUGUGAAGCUUGAGGUUGGAUGUGGGAAUUGGCUUGGAGUCAUAGGCGAUGAGAGGGACAUUAGGAUAUUAUGAAGCCCGUGAACUCAACUCCUGAGAAGGACGCAGCAGAGCGAGAGAAAAGAUGGAAUAAAAAGGCCUACCUCAUUGGGCUCGUGUGGGUGAGGAGAACUGAAGAGUCUGAGAGCGCGGCACGAGCCAGAGGCUACGGAAAACACUGCCCUCCUACACUCCACCUUGGAGAGACCCAGAAAAGAACAAGCUUCAUUUGUAAAAAAGGAAAACAACUCAGGCAAUGGGGGUGGCUUAAAGGCACUCUACAGUGUGCAGAUGCCUUCCACUUCUUCCAUCUGCCCUGUCUCUCCAAGAACCCCUAUGGCCCCGGUCUCAGAACAGAGCUGAGUGCAGAAAUGAAAAUCUAUGGCUCUGUGUUCCAAAACGAUGAAGAAUUUCAAGAUGGUGGCAGUGGUAAAAUCUUUCUCCAGGAAAAAUCUGUCCUUGGCCCAAUGUGUAAACACUUGCUGAGGAACUUGGAAUAACUUGCAGUGUCUUGCAGUAUUGUGAAACCAGCAACUUGUUCACAAUUCUUCUGAAUUUCUUGGGAAAUUUGAAGUGGAGUACCUGUACCAACAUGAAAUGACACGAAUUUAAGUGACGCUCAACAACGAAAAGCAAAAAGAACCAAAGAGGAAGCAACUGAAACAACAUCUGGAUGUAUUUAAAAAUAUACAAUGCCUCCAAAAUCAGGUGUCAUUAAUGAAAAUUCUGAAGAAAUGCCACCGGACAUAGCCAACGCACCUACGCUGUUGUUAUUCAUUUCCUGCUUUUCACAGAAAACAAUUUUGUUGCAUGGAAGAUCGUGAACUUCAAAGGGCAGAGGGGAAACUGUCCCUUGGCCUCUACCCCUCCAAGGCCCCACUUUUUUGUCAACACUCCUUGGACGCAGCAGAAGUAUGAACAUAAUAUGGUCCUGAAUGAGGCUGAGUCUUUGGGCGCAGAAGACCCGGGUUAAUAAAAAUAGGAAGGUAAGAAAAGAAAAGAAAAAUCAAGACACAUCAUAGGACUAAAUUCCUAUUAUUUAUCCACUCAGGAUUGACCACCCCUUUGGGCCAGAUAGUUGUACCCCCAUGUACCAGGUGGGCACAUGAAGACACAAGAAGUGCUGUGAUGGUUCAUUUUGCACGUCACCUUGCGUGGAGUAUGCCAACUCAUUGUUUGGUCAAACACUAGUCUGGACAUGGUGGUAAAGGUAUUUUUUAGAUGAGAUUAACACUUAAAUCAGUAAAGCAGGUUACCCACCAUACUACGGGUGGGCCCUGUCCAAUCAGUUGAAGGCAUUAAGAACAAAGAUUGAGGUUUCCUAAAGAAGAUGGAAUUCUCCUUGAGACUACAACAUAGAAACCCUAUCUGAGUUUCCAGCCUGUUGCCCUGUGGAAUUCAAACUCAGGACUCCGGUCUAUGACAUUAACCCUCACUUAACUUUUCAGCCUGCCAGCCUGCCCUAUGGAUUUCGGACUUGCCAGCCACACAAUUCCUUAAAAUAAAUCUCUCCGUCUCUGUCUGUUUCUCUCUGUCUAUAUACACACCUGCAUGCAUAUAUACAUAUAUAUAUGUAUGCAUCUAUA